Molecule: long non-coding RNA, 4441 nt
Organism: Harpia harpyja (harpy eagle)
Lineage: Eukaryota; Metazoa; Chordata; Aves; Accipitriformes; Accipitridae
Exons: 3
Source: RefSeq, a predicted model, not a curated record
GCAGAAAGUAAUGUGGGGUUAGAAGUGAAAAGAGAAUUUAUGACAUCUACUCUAACUUCCCCUAGGAGUGGGAGACACCUGUUUCCAUUUUAUGCUUACAGGUGUCUGUUUCCUGGUGGAACAUGGUUGUCCCUGGAGAAAGCUGGAUGAAUCUUAAACUGAGAGGCUUCCAGUGAAAUGUUACUGUUUUACGUACGCAUGUGGAUAACCACUGUAGAAUUGUCCUUAUUAGAGCUAGACUGAAGCAGCAGUGUUUAGAUUUGAUAGAUACAGUCUAAGAUUUGAGGUCAGGGUUGCAACUGAGCCAAACCCAUUUGGGAUGAUUCGCAUCAGAGACCCUCACUAGGAUCUAUGAUUACAGAAUUGUAAAAUUGCCAACUGGUUAAUCUCAACUUGAUCUAGAGGAAGAAAAUACUGGAAAAAAUUCAUGGUAGUUUCCGUGUUGAGAGGGUAAGCGUUGGCUCCAUCUUUAACUGUUGUGGUUUUAGUGGCCAUGCAGCUUGCCUGUCUUUCUGGGGAGCUGCGCCUGUGGGACCACUCAGAGCUGGAGCCUAUGGGUGGCUGAUGCACUUUACUUAUGGAAUCAUAUUCCUGGCAGAGACAUUUGAAGUGAUCAGGGGCUUUUACAGACAUAUAAUAGUUACAAAAGUUGUUUAUUGCCAGCACCAUGUAAUCACUGAGAAUAGUGGCUAUUAUCCUCCUCACCCUGCUAACUCCUUAAGGAUCAGAAAAUGUAGAAGUUCUACCUAAUUUUCUUCUCUGAUCUUCCCUUGGCAGUUCUUUAAUACAACGGUUGUGCAGUUGGGAGUGAGGAGACUGAUGUGGGUGUCAUUCAAGGGAUUUAAAUGUGUUUUCCAAAAGGAAAAUGAAACGGCCUGCUUGGUGCAGCACGCUUCCAAAGAUGGAAAGUCCUUUCAAGUGAUUAGUUCCCUUCACCUGUGAAAAGACAGACAUCGUUAAUAUUCUUCUAGGACAUUUUGAACACCUGGAGCACAUCCCAGCUGUCCUGAGCCCAGAACACCAUAAGCGGGCUGAGAGCAAGCUCUUUUUGUCUAGAAAGAAAUAGAGCUGCUCCAAGUCUCUGUCACCUUGGAGCUUCCUUUAGGGCAGAGGAUCUGCCAGAUCUGUCAGCCAGGCAAUAAGUGUGCUUCCACGCAGUUUGGAAAAUAGAGAUUUUUUUCCUUAGAGACAUUAUAGCAAAUGUUGGCUGUGACAGGACUAGUUUACACUUUCCAAACCCUCCUGGUUCUAAGUUUAUCUUGCAACAGAGCCAAGAGUGGUAUUACAAAAAUGUCUACAGAUAGCCAUUUUGUGUUUGUGCAUGUGCCUGAGUACACCUGUAAUUCCUGAUUACAUGCCAAAAUAGUCAGAAAGCUCUUUUUGUGUGUGUGAGAUGAUUUGAGAAGUAUGACUUCUCACUAGCAAAGAGCCAGAUCUACUACAACAUGAUUACGAAGAAAGAAAUGUUUGACUUGGUUACAGCUUCUUCAUUUAUGAGGACAUCUAAUAAGUUUUUUGGCCAGAAGUUUCUGUGAAAUUGUAUUUUCUGAAAAUGGUAACUGUUGGUUCUUGCAGUGAGGAGCAUUUUACACAUGCUGAAUACCACAAGGUGCUUUACAGAGGUGGGUCUCUCUGAAAGGAGAGGGAAACCCUGGCUUGGUGACUCGCUCUAGAGGGUAUUUGAAGCCAGUGGCAGAUCUAGGUUUAUUAUUAAGACUUACUGGUUUCUUGCGCUAUCAUAGCACCCACACAGAGACCAGGACUCCAGUGCACCAGUUUUUCAGAGCACAAACUUUACCUCUGCUUAGGCAGUCCCCUGGAGAGCUGAGAGAAAGGAGAGGUCACCCGCUGCACUGCCAUGUUGCCUAGAAAAGCAGCAUCCAAGCUGUUUUAAACACACUUCAGAAAGUCUUUGCUUCACUUUGCUGGCGCUGAACAGCCUCAGUCGCAAGGGUGCUACAUGGCAGAGGGUCGUGCGUACAGAAAGGUGAUCCACGAGGGCAGGACCUGCCUGGUGUCCUCUGGACCACAGCCUGGAGCUGGGAUGUGCCUGAUUCCAGAGCAACCUCUCAGAAAGCAAUUUUUUUGCAUUAAGAGUCAGAGCAGCAGCUGGAUGGCCCUACAACAGGCUGUCCUUUCAUAUACAUCCUUCCUGCAGGCUGGGGCUGAGUGCUCCUUGUCACUAACAGGCAUGUUGCUGUGUUUUAUACCCUGCCUUGCCACAGGGAAAUCAAGGAGAUGAUAGUGAGGGAAAGAAGUAAAUGUGGGGAGAUUUUGCAUUAGUAGGGUGGGUCAUGUGCCCCACUAUGUCUGCUCUUCUCACAGAAACCUUCACAACAAAACAGAACAAUAUGGCAGGAGAAUAAAAGAAGUGUGUAUGCUCUUAAUACCACAAACCAGGCACAAAGCUGUCUGUGAAUAGCAGCCUGGAUGUUGCCUGUUCUUUCAAUAAGCUGCACAGCACAUUACAGCAUCAUGACAGCCACUAGUGCAGCCCUGAGGAAAGGCUGCAUUCCCGUCUCCACGUCUCUGAUGCAGCUCCAAUAAAGUCAGCGGGGUUUCACCAACAUCUUCUGAUCAUGUCUCUCCAGUAAAUGGUUUUCAGGUUGCUCUUAAAAAUGAUGGAGCCAAAAUAAGCACCAAGGGCCAUCAAUUCUCAAACUCCCAUGUACUUCAAUUAGAGAAAGCUAAGGAGCCUGCACUAUGCAAUUAGCUACUGUACGCCAGGGUCCAUGACUAAGCUUGUGGGAGUUAAGCACAUGUAUAAAUACUUGUUGGAUUAGGGUUUAUGGUUAGAGAAAAUCCUUCCAACUGAAAAAAACUUCCUAUCAGGAUCUAACUCUUAAACAGUUUUAGUGGGAGGAGGGUGCAGUCAAGUUCCUACAGCAGGUCUUCUCAUCUAAUGUAACUAGCUCAAUGCAGGACUUGGCAUAUCCUAAGCAAUUGUUUGUAGCUCCUGCACAGCACAUCUGCUUUGGGAGCUGAUUUGUGACAGAAAUCCGCUUGAAUGGAGAUGGUAAAUUUGAUUUACUUGUGAAAAAGAAGUGAAGAAUUCCACAGCAGAACAAUCUGGGUCACAAUGUACUUUGGAUUACAAGAUUUAGUACAGAAAAAAGGCCCAAACCACAUAAUUCAGAUCCAACUUUCAAGCAUCAAAAGUUUGAGGUUAAUCAAAACUAGGGUUUAGUUCAUCCAUUCAUGAAGAUGUCUGUGUAGCUUGGAGCUGACCCUGUGCUUUGAUCUUCCCUUCUCCCUUGGGGUCCCCCAGGACUGUUCAAAUCCAGGGAUCAGACCUUUUCCCAGUUUGCAGCAGAAAACCCAAAACCACACAGACAAAAAGCCGUUUAAAGGAGAAGGCAGCUUUGGCAGAAAGAGGCACAAACAGAGAGAACUAGUUGUGGGUCUGUCCUGGGUCUCUGGAAAUGUGCAAGCAGGAGCAGGGUAGAGGGAUGGAUGUUUCAAGGUAAUAUUGAUCUCCCUGAGAGAUUGGAGAGUAGCUGAAGUAAUAAGAGUUUUGUGCAAAUGAAAGAGACCAAACACGGGAAAUGGCACUGGGGGAGAAACAAGAGUUAAGCUCAGAGUUAAUGUGCAGAAACAACAGGAGAAUAAAUCUGAAUUUCCAGAGCAGGAGGCAGGGUUUGUUGUUCAGUGGUGAGCUUGGACUAGACACCUGACAGAGAGGCUGAGCUUGCUAAGGGGUUUCCUGGGUCACGGGGGGAAAGAUUGACCCCCACCUGCUCAUCUCUUUUUGAAAGACAAGCUAAGACAAUGCAUGUGGCUUUGGACUUUGCAGAGGCAUAGCAUGAGUGUUACCCUUAUUGCUAACACACCUAGCAAAGUUGAUGGGGCAGCCUUGGGAAUGGAGCCAAGGAGGACUGGAGCAACGUGCAUGAUGCUCCGCCGGCUGCAUGCCUAAGGCUGCCAGUGGAGGGGGGGGUAGGGAUGUCAGCAAGCCACGGUGCAUACAAAUCACUGGUCUCAGCAGCCAUGCCAUGGUGGGAACUGAUCCUGUCCGCUGAAACCCCCAGGGAGGGUGACCUUUCCCCAGUGGGAGAAACCAGGAGCAGGUGAGCCACGUGGCUGUGGGCUCACAUCUCGUGGGCAUGAGGAAGGGAGAUAUCUUCCAGCCUCCCCUUUGGUGAGGCAGUGCACAGGAGCUGAUCACAGUAUUGCCUGCUGUCUGUUUGCAUGACUGCAACUUUGGGCAAAGAUUGGCUCAGAACUUUGUAAAAGUCAUCAAUGGAAGUCAAGCUCUUCCAUCAUUGCGCUUAUAACACAAAAAAUGUUUCCAAAGCUUCUCCUCUUAAGGAGAACUGACCCUCCCCUCUCCUUUACAGCCCCUUACCUUGUGUUCAUUAUGAAAGCAUUUGACUUUAGGAACAGAGAUAGUUCUCAUGUGAACGCAUACACAAAAGAAAACAAGUACAACACCCAUUUCUGU